GAUGAACGCUGGCGGCGUGCCUAAUACAUGCAAGUCGAGCGAACAGAUGAGGAGCUUGCUCCUCUGACGUUAGCGGCGGACGGGUGAGUAACACGUGGAUAACCUACCUAUAAGACUGGGAUAACUUCGGGAAACCGGAGCUAAUACCGGAUAAUAUAUUGAACCGCAUGGUUCAAUAGUGAAAGACGGUUUUGCUGUCACUUAUAGAUGGAUCCGCGCCGCAUUAGCUAGUUGGUAAGGUAACGGCUUACCAAGGCAACGAUGCGUAGCCGACCUGAGAGGAUGAUCGGCCACACUGGAACUGAGACACGGUCCAGACUCCUACGGGAGGCAGCAGUAGGGAAUCUUCCGCAAUGGGCGAAAGCCUGACGGAGCAACGCCGCGUGAGGGAUGAAGGUCUUCGGAUCGUAAAACGCUGUUAUUAGGGAAGAAAAAAUGUGUAAGUAACUAUGCACGUCUUGACGGUACCUAAUCAGAAAGCCACGGCUAACUACGUG
Molecule: ribosomal RNA, 497 nt
Filed under: uncultured bacterium
Lineage: Bacteria
Description: partial 16S ribosomal RNA
Rfam family: Bacterial small subunit ribosomal RNA
Source: RNAcentral